This is a non-coding RNA of Agelaius phoeniceus (red-winged blackbird), 1781 nucleotides long. Lineage: Eukaryota; Metazoa; Chordata; Aves; Passeriformes; Icteridae. The record is from RefSeq and is a predicted model, not a curated record.
ACGCCACGAGCGCCGCGCUCCCCUACGAGCCCCAGCGCCCGCAGCCCCUGCUCCGUGCCCGCAGCCCCUGCUGGGGGCUGCAGCUUCCCAGCCACGAGCAGCCGCUCUGGGACGGCCGCUGGGGCCGAGGCGUUGCUGCUCCCGCUGCCAUUGUGCCUGGGGUGGGACUGGAGCCCCAGGGAAACGCUAGGAAAAACCCCAUGGGUUAAAAAACCAGUGCAAACGAUUUGUUCUUUAUUUCCAGAGCCGUGGGAAUCAUCAAGUCAAAUGUGAGAAGUGACUGGCCCAGCUGUGCAUCAAACCCAGAAUUUUGGCCUUCUCAGCACCCUGCUCCAAACACCUGAGCCAAUCCCAGGGCUGUUCCAAAGGCCCUGUGUGGGAUGGCAAUGACUGCUGCCACUAAGAGAACUCCUCUGCAAAUGCAGCUCCUUCCCUUCUGCUACUGCUGCUUUGCACAGCAGCCCCUGCAAUGGCUGUGGGGCAGAACUGGCUGGCACUCAACAUGGCAGCACCAAACUCUUCCCCAUAGCCCUGAUUGUUCUGCCCUUGCCAGGAUUUCCCCAGCAGCUGUAAAUGUGCUCCCACAAUGUCCCUUUGUUUCCCCAGGAAGAAGCCAACAAGACAAGCCCUGAGGGUUACCUUGCUCCGUGGCCAAAGCUCUUCUGGAGAGUGCCGGGGGGCGUUGCCUGCAGGUGAGUGUUGCCAGCUCCAAACCAUGCUGGCUGCUGAGGCCAGGGCUGUUUUUCUGGCCCAGGGGCCUCGGUGUCUCCUGCUGGCUGCCAGCCAUGCUCCUUGGUGUUCCCUGGCUGUGUCCCAGCUGGCUGGGAGCGCAGGGCAGGAGGAGGCCAGGAGCUCCUGAAAGGCAGCAGCACCUCGUGUCUUUGGCAUCUGCAGGGGAGGAGCUGUGCCUGCACUGUGGCUCCUGGGCCAGGGGCUGCUCUGAGCAGGCCCCUGGAAAUGCUUCAGCCCGGACAGAGACCACCAGCAGCCCAGCAGGACCCCAAGGAGCAGCUGGCAUUGCUGGGAAUGGAGGCACGGGCCCUUUGCAGAGGGGCUCAGCAGCAACUCCUGGCUCAGAGCUCCCACACAGCUGCCAGCUGUGGCCCAGCCACCCCAAAUCCCUUCCCUCCUCCCCAGCCUGAGGCCAUCGGCCAUCAGCAGCAUCAAAGCCAAGGCCAUCUUCCCCCACAGAUGUUCAAUCCCAGGCAGCAGCCCUCAGAGGUACCUGAAAAUCAGUGGGAUGGAGUUCGGAGUUUUUCAGGGAUCCAGCUGGAAGUGCAGAAGUGAUGGAAAGCUUUCCCAGGUGCCCUGGUGCCACCGUGUUGGUCCCUUGGCCUUUCUCCAGCCCGAGGCUGCUCCUCUGCUCGCUCUCUGCAGUCUCAUCCCACAGGGAUCCUCUUCUCCCUUCCCUGCUGGCUGCUGCCAAGGAAGGAGGCCACAGGGAGUCUCCAGUGCUGCCCCCUCAGCCCUGGAGAGUCCUGGCUGUGGGCCCAAGGGGCCUGGGAUUUCCCAGGGAAAUUGUCUGCUCGUCUCCCUUCCAUGACCUCAGCAAUUCCCUCCAAAAUGCCACCUCACUGCCCCUGACAUCCCCUCACAUUCCAUUGCCCUACACAAACAGUUCUUGGAUCCCCUCUAGAUCACACCAGGUUUUCAGCCACAUGAAUGGCAUCACCUGUGCCCACUGCUCGUUAUUCACCCAACCAAAAUCAAGAGCAAAUGUUGGUUGGGCUUUAAUAACAACUUGAAAGAACUUUACAGCACAAUAAAUCACCUUUUUCUUC